Molecule: long non-coding RNA, 701 nt
Organism: Acanthopagrus latus (yellowfin seabream)
Lineage: Eukaryota; Metazoa; Chordata; Actinopteri; Spariformes; Sparidae
Exons: 2
Source: RefSeq, a predicted model, not a curated record
GUUUGGUGAGAACAUUGAUCCCAAUCUCGUGUCUUCCAUUUUAAAUGUGAAGCUACAGACACGCAGCCUGUUAGCUUAGCCUAGCUUUGGUUAGAAUAAAACGUUGAAACUGCUAAAUUAAAGUUAAAAGCUGCCUAACAGUUCCUCUAAAUCACAAUAAUUAACAUGUUUUAUCCUAUUAUUCUAAAGCUCAUAAAAACGGUGUGUAAAAAGCACAAUUCGCCGUUUUAUGGGGUUUUUAUCCAGAGUUUCUUUGAGCAACUGGUUGCUAAGCAACCACUGGAGAAUACAGGAAGUGACAAGUGACAAAUAAAUGUUUGUAAGGCUUCAUUUCUGUACGAAUUAUAAACAGAUACAAAAAGCUUAUUAGUGAGCUUAAGAUGUGUUUGUAGGCUUAUUUUAUUACCUUUGGACGAGCCAAGCUAGCUGUUUUCCAGUUCCCGGUCUUAAACUAAGCUAACCUGUGUGAAUGCUUCUUCUCCUCAAACUCUCGGACAGAAUCUCAUCAAAGAAGGCAGUAUGGUGUGAAAGUCUGAGGUUCAAUUUGUGGUUAAAGAUUUUUCUUCCCACUCUGUCUGGAGUUUUCCAAGAGGACAUACAUGUCAGAAACACAGUGUGCUAUUCCAGUGCAUGAUUUGACACACUUUCCGCUCUGCAGCUCAUUAAACUAAAGAUAAAAGUCAAUUAAAAAUGUCUUCACA